This 614-nucleotide long non-coding RNA is filed under the name Pan troglodytes (chimpanzee). RNAcentral describes it as "long non-coding RNA NONPTRT003475". Lineage: Eukaryota; Metazoa; Chordata; Mammalia; Primates; Hominidae. The record is from RNAcentral.
ACAGAGCACUACAAAACUCAGUGGCUUAAAACAAUAAUCAUUUAUUAUGUUAUCUUUGAGGCCAGGCAUGGUGGCUUAUGCCUGUAAUCCUAGCACUUUGGGAGGCUGAGGUGGGAGGAUCCUUCAAAGCCAGGAGUUCAAGACCAGCCUGGGUAAGGGUAACAAAGCGAGAUGCCAGCUCUACAAAAAAGAAAACAAGAAUUUGAGAGCACCUUGCAGAUUUCAUCGGGAAGUUGAGUCCAUAUCCUCUCCCCAUGAAUGUGGGCAAUUUGUGGCUGUUUCAACGAACAGACUACAGAAUAAGUGAUGCUGUGUGACUUCUAUGGUUGUGUCAUGAAAAGCUAUUCAGUUUCUGCCUAAGUCUCUUGGAACAUGCUUGCUCUUGGGAUACUUCCUGUUAGAACCCAGCCACCAGCUUGUGAACCCAAGCCACUUGAAGAGGCCAUCUUUAGGUGCUCGGGUCAACAAUCCCAACUAAGCCCAGCUUUUGAGUCAUCCUAGCCCAGAUGCUACACAUGUGAAUGAAGGAGACUCCAGAUGAUUCCGGUCAUUUGAGUCCUUCCAGCUGAUACCCUGCUGUGCCCAGUCCAAAUUCCUGUUGCAUAGAAUCUAUG